GACGAACGCUGGCGGCGUGCUUAACACAUGCAAGUCGAGCGGUAAGGCCCUUUCGGGGGUACACGAGCGGCGAACGGGUGAGUAACACGUGGGUGACCUGCCCUCAGCUCGUGGGAUAAGGCCUGGGAAACCGGGUCUAAUACUGGAUAUGACUCCAUGACGCAUGUUGUGGGGUGGAAGGCCUUGUGCGGCUGAGGAUGGGCCCGCGGCCUAUCAGCUUGUUGGUGGGGUGAUGGGCCUACCAAGGCGACGACGGGUAGCCGGCCUGAGAGGGCGACCGGCCACACUGGGACUGAGACACGGCCCAGACUCCUACGGGAGGCAGCAGUGGGGAAUCUUGCGCAAUGGGCGAAAGCCUGACGC
Molecule: ribosomal RNA, 363 nt
Filed under: uncultured bacterium
Lineage: Bacteria
Description: bacterial SSU rRNA
Rfam family: Bacterial small subunit ribosomal RNA
Source: RNAcentral